UCUAAAAAGUUAGAGCCUGCCCUGUCCCUUCCAAUCCUGAUAUUCUAUGAUUCUAUUAAAAGCACAGAUGCUAGAAGGCUCCAGCACCUGCACCAGCACCAGGACUUGCCUCAUGCUACCAUGUCCAACAGUCAAUGCAGCUACUGGACAAUGCUGGGAGGAGCUCCAUAGGAGUUACAGAGGGCAGAGUGAGGAUUUCCAAUGGGCAUCAGUAACUGAGGGCAUUUCUAGCUGCCAGCUUCAGGAGAAGGAAUCAAAAACCAGCUCGCCUGAGAGAGGUAUUUGAGAGCCUGGCCUGAGGGUGUCUAAGAGAACCUAGAGCCCUGGGAUGAAGACCAUGGUCAACAGCUCCACUACUCAGAGAGUUCCAUUGUGUCAACCGUAAAGGUAAAGCUCAUAUGUGUGGGAGCCAGCCCAAGGCUGUGGGAUGAACGCCCCAGGAACCAAGGGCCACCACAAAUGUCCCCAUCUUCAUGCAAGGGCAAGGAGCAUUUCUUUGACCUUGCCUCCUCUAGCAGAAACAGACAGCAACAUGUGUACGUGUGUUCAGAGAAAAUAUAUACAAAUUCCAAAACAAGACACUCCCUGCACAUCCUUCUCCCCUGGGGCAAGGAUGAGAACAGACACAUGACCGAUGUUAGUAAUGUUGCAUCAUGCCCUGCUGGAGGCACUCAGAUACUACUGUGAUGAAUACCAUAUAAGAACUAGAUAGACUACAACAGGAUAGACUGAGCUGGGCCAUUCAGAGUGAUCACUGAUCAGAAACUGAUUUUAAAAACCACUCAGGGCUAGACUCAGUGGGCAAAACAUAUUGUUGAUUGUUU
Trachemys scripta elegans is the source of this 824-nucleotide long non-coding RNA. RefSeq lists it as uncharacterized. Lineage: Eukaryota; Metazoa; Chordata; Testudines; Emydidae. The record is from RefSeq and is a predicted model, not a curated record. The transcript is spliced from 3 exons.